Molecule: ribosomal RNA, 253 nt
Filed under: uncultured bacterium
Lineage: Bacteria
Description: partial 16S ribosomal RNA
Rfam family: Bacterial small subunit ribosomal RNA
Source: RNAcentral
UACGAAGGGGGCUAGCGUUGCUCGGAAUUACUGGGCGUAAAGGGCGCGUAGGCGGACAGUUUAGUCAGAGGUGAAAGCCCAGGGCUCAACCUUGGAAUUGCCUUUGAUACUGGCUGUCUUGAGUUUGGGAGAGGUGAGUGGAAUGCCGAGUGUAGAGGUGAAAUUCGUAGAUAUUCGGCGGAACACCAGUGGCGAAGGCGACUCACUGGCCCGAUACUGACGCUGAGGCGCGAAAGCGUGGGGAGCGAACAGG